Molecule: long non-coding RNA, 950 nt
Filed under: Olea europaea (common olive)
Lineage: Eukaryota; Viridiplantae; Streptophyta; Magnoliopsida; Lamiales; Oleaceae
Description: long non-coding RNA (OEUR_LNC012786)
Source: RNAcentral
AAAUUGUUCCCAUUUUUAACGUAAUAAUGCCAGGAAAAAAUCAAUAACACUUAACAUUUAUGGAUUACAACAAGAUUGGCUUUAAUUGAGCUUUACGAGGCUUAUAAGAAAAUACCACAUUUAGAAGUGGAAUCAAAGAGCUCUUAUUUGUAACCAACCACAUUAGAAGUAAGUUUAGAGCUAAAUACUGACAGUGACUUUAUAUUUUUUAAUAUUCUACCCGCUAAACCAAAUUUCUGGCUCCGCCCUGGACAAAGCCACGAGAAACGGUGGGAGUAAAAAUUUGAUAACGACCACGUUCGGCUCGGAAAUUUUCUAUGAUUACCUUAAAAUUCACUCGGGCACUGAUUUUUUCUACACUAUAAAACAAGCAUUUAAAAUUGUAUCUACAUAAUUCGGACAAGUCUAAUUAAUAAAGAUAGGGUAAACAUAUUGUAGCCCGCAUAUAAUAAAUGAAAAUUUCAAUAUAAAGCAUUAGCAUCAUUUAUAUUAAGAAUAUUCAGGCUCUCGGAGCAUUGAAAUAAUUAACGAUUUCAUACAUGAAUCACUCCAAACCUAUCCAUCACCGAAACUUAAGCAGAUUAGAAAAAUUUUAAGCUGAUUACAAGCUCUCAACACUCAAGUGAAUGAAGAAGAAUCAUAAAUCAAUGACCCACCAUAAACCGUCAUAAAAAAUAAAAAAAUAAUAAUAAUAAUUUUUCAACAAAUCACAUUGUUUAUUGCACAAAGAAAAACCCUAGAGCGAAUGAUCUACGUUUAUUGCACAAACAAAAACAGUAAACAGGAGAUAGAUGGUUACUGUAUUAAGAUAGCGGUGAAAAGGUUCAAGCUCCGUUGGGCUUAUGAAACUGAUUCUACGUUUUUACCCUGAUUUCCCCAAAAUUGGAAUUUUAAGGCAAAGCCAGAUGUUUUUCUUUAAAGGUGCAGACGUAACCCCCGUCAAGAUAGGC